GAUACACCUGUUCCCAUUCCGAACACAGAAGUUAAGCUCUCUAGCGCUGAUGGUACUUGGUGGGAAACUGCCUGGGAGAGUAGGACGUAGCCACGUU
Molecule: ribosomal RNA, 97 nt
Filed under: Clostridioides difficile CD113
Lineage: Bacteria; Bacillati; Bacillota; Clostridia; Peptostreptococcales; Peptostreptococcaceae
Source: RNAcentral